RNAcentral lists this ribosomal RNA (501 nucleotides) under Triticum aestivum (bread wheat). RNAcentral describes it as "partial small subunit ribosomal RNA". Lineage: Eukaryota; Viridiplantae; Streptophyta; Magnoliopsida; Poales; Poaceae. The record is from RNAcentral.
AUGUGUGUUCCUAAACGACAAGUAGGUAUGGGUUUCAGAGACAUCCAUUGUUUUAAUCUUGCUCUUUUGGCAAAGCAGGCCUGGAGACUAAUUGAAAACCCGGACUCCCUGUGUGCACGUAUUUUGAGAGCAAAGUACUUUCCUGAUGGUGAUCUGUUAAAUUGCAAGUUGAAAAAGAAUUCCUCCUACACUUGGCAGAGCAUUAUGCAAGGGGUGAAUACCCUGAAACAUGGAUACAUUUGGAGAGUAGGGGAUGGUGAAAAAAUAAAUAUUUGGAGGGAUGCAUGGAUUCCUAACUCACCAUCCAGAAUGAUUAUUACCCCAAGGGGUAACCAGUUACUAUCAAAGGUGAGUGAUUUAAUUGAUCCAGCUACAGGUCAGUGGGAUGUGCCACUUGUGGAGCAAACCUUCUGGCCGAUUGAUGUGGAACGGGUCCUUUCUUUACCACUACCCACACAUGAUAUGAGUGAUUUUGUAGCAUGGAGUUUGAAUAAACAUGGA